This 250-nucleotide ribosomal RNA is filed under the name uncultured bacterium. RNAcentral's name for it is "partial 16S ribosomal RNA". It matches the Rfam family "Bacterial small subunit ribosomal RNA", at positions 524 to 773 of the family's 1533-position model. The record is from RNAcentral.
UACGAAGGGGGCUAGCGUUGUUCGGAAUUACUGGGCGUAAAGCGCACGUAGGCGGAUUGGUCAGUUAGGGGUGAAAUCCCGGGGCUCAACCCCGGAACUGCCUUUAAUACUGCCAAUCUAGAGUCCGAGAGAGGUGAGUGGAAUUCCGAGUGUAGAGGUGAAAUUCGUAGAUAUUCGGAGGAACACCAGUGGCGAAGGCGGCUCACUGGCUCGGUACUGACGCUGAGGUGCGAAAGCGUGGGGAGCAAAC